Molecule: regulatory RNA element, 54 nt
Organism: Scleropages formosus (Asian bonytongue)
Lineage: Eukaryota; Metazoa; Chordata; Actinopteri; Osteoglossiformes; Osteoglossidae
Rfam family: UnaL2 LINE 3' element
About the family: The eel long interspersed element (LINE) UnaL2 and its partner short interspersed element (SINE) share a conserved 3' tail containing a stem-loop that is critical for their retrotransposition. Presumably, the first step of retrotransposition is the recognition of their 3' tails by UnaL2-encoded reverse transcriptase.
Source: Rfam
UGGGUAAACAAUUGUAAGUUGCUUUGGAUAAAAGUGUCUGCUAAAUAAAUGAAU